RNAcentral lists this unclassified non-coding RNA (450 nucleotides) under uncultured Glomus. RNAcentral's name for it is "bacterial SSU rRNA". It matches the Rfam family "Eukaryotic small subunit ribosomal RNA", at positions 569 to 1024 of the family's 1831-position model. The record is from RNAcentral. Lineage: Eukaryota; Fungi; Glomeromycota; Glomeromycetes; Glomerales; Glomeraceae.
AGCAGCCGCGGUAAUUCCAGCUCCAAUAGCGUAUAUUAAAGUUGUUGCAGUUAAAAGCUCGUAGUUGAACUUCAGGCCUGUCCAGAUGGUCCGCCUUAAUUGGUGUGUACUGUCCUUGGGUGGGUCCUACCUCCUGGCGAAGCGGCAUGGCCUUAAUUGGUUGUGUUGGGGAACCAGGACUUUUACUGUGAAAAAUUGAGUGUUCAAAGCAGGCAAAUAUGCUCGAAUACAUUAGCAUGGAAUAAUGGAAUAGGACGAUGGUUCUAUUUUGUUGGUUCUAGGACCGUUGUAAUGAUUAAUAGGGAUAGUUGGGGGCAUUAGUAUUCAAUUGUCAGAGGUGAAAUUCUUGGAUUUAUUGAAGACUAACUACUGCGAAAGCAUUUGCCAAGGAUGUUUUCAUUAAUCAAGAACGAAAGUUAGGGAUCGAAGACGAUUAGAUACCGUCGUAGU